CGGGAUUCAGAGUUUGAUCCUGGCUCAGAACGAACGCUGGCGGCAAGCUUAACACAUGCAAGUCGAACGGACCGUAUACGCAGCUUAAUGCGUGUAUGGUUAGUGGCAGACGGGUGAGUAAUGCAUAGGAAUCUACCUAGUAGUAUGGGAUAGCCACUAGAAAUGGUGGGUAAUACUGUAUAAUCCCUGCGGGGGAAAGAUUUAUCGCUAUUAGAUGAGCCUAUGUCAGAUUAGCUAGUUGGUGGGGUAAUGGCCUACCAAGGCGGUGAUCUGUAGCUGGUCUGAGAGGAUGAUCAGCCACACUGGAACUGAGACACGGUCCAGACUCCUACGGGAGGCAGCAGUGGGGAAUAUUGGACAAUGGGCGCAAGCCUGAUCCAGCUAUGCCGCGUGAGUGAGGAAGGCCUUAGGGUUGUAAAACUCUUUCAGUAGGGAAGAUAAUGACGGUACCUAC
This 454-nucleotide ribosomal RNA is filed under the name Anaplasma marginale. RNAcentral's name for it is "bacterial SSU rRNA". It matches the Rfam family "Bacterial small subunit ribosomal RNA", at positions 1 to 482 of the family's 1533-position model. The record is from RNAcentral. Lineage: Bacteria; Pseudomonadati; Pseudomonadota; Alphaproteobacteria; Rickettsiales; Anaplasmataceae.